This 292-nucleotide ribosomal RNA is filed under the name uncultured bacterium. Its description in RNAcentral is "partial 16S ribosomal RNA". It matches the Rfam family "Archaeal small subunit ribosomal RNA", at positions 455 to 746 of the family's 1478-position model. The record is from RNAcentral.
GUGCCAGCCGCCGCGGUAAUACCGGCAGCCCGAGUGAUGGCCGAUCUUAUUGGGCCUAAAGCGUCCGUAGCUGGCCAGACAAGUCUGUUGGGAAAUCCACGUGCUCAACGCGUGGGCGUCCAGCGGAAACUGUCUGGCUUGGGGCCGGAGGACUCGAGGGGUACGUCCGGGGUAGGAGUGAAAUCCUGUAAUCCUGGACGGACCGCCGGUGGCGAAAGCGCCUCGGGAAGACGGACCCGACAGUGAGGGACGAAAGCGGGGAUCUCGAACCGGAUUAGAUACCCGGGUAGUC